This 1967-nucleotide ribosomal RNA is filed under the name Vibrio parahaemolyticus. RNAcentral's name for it is "partial 23S ribosomal RNA". It matches the Rfam family "Bacterial large subunit ribosomal RNA", at positions 234 to 2236 of the family's 2925-position model. The record is from RNAcentral. Lineage: Bacteria; Pseudomonadati; Pseudomonadota; Gammaproteobacteria; Vibrionales; Vibrionaceae.
AUUCCGAAAGUAGCGGCGAGCGAAAUUGGACUAGCCCUUAAGCUUUACACGCGUUAGACGAACGGUCUGGAAAGUCCGACGAUACAGGGUGAUAGUCCCGUAGUUGACGACGUGUGUUCAGUGAAAUCGAGUAGGGCGGGACACGUGAUAUCCUGUCUGAAUAUGGGGGGACCAUCCUCCAAGGCUAAAUACUACUGACUGACCGAUAGUGAACCAGUACCGUGAGGGAAAGGCGAAAAGAACCCCUGUGAGGGGAGUGAAAUAGAACCUGAAACCGUGUACGUACAAGCAGUAGGAGCAGGCUUUGUCCUGUGACUGCGUACCUUUUGUAUAAUGGGUCAGCGACUUAUAUUCAGUGGCAAGGUUAACCAUCUAGGGGAGCCGUAGGGAAACCGAGUCUUAACUGGGCGUUCAGUCUCUGGAUAUAGACCCGAAACCAGGUGAUCUAGCCAUGGGCAGGUUGAAGGUUGAGUAACAUCAACUGGAGGACCGAACCGACUAAUGUUGAAAAAUUAGCGGAUGACUUGUGGCUAGGGGUGAAAGGCCAAUCAAACCUGGAGAUAGCUGGUUCUCCCCGAAAGCUAUUUAGGUAGCGCCUCGGACGAAUACUACUGGGGGUAGAGCACUGUUAAGGCUAGGGGGUCAUCCCGACUUACCAACCCUUUGCAAACUCCGAAUACCAGUAAGUACUAUCCGGGAGACACACGGCGGGUGCUAACGUCCGUCGUGGAGAGGGAAACAACCCAGACCGCCAGCUAAGGUCCCAAAUUACUACUAAGUGGGAAACGAUGUGGGAAGGCUCAGACAGCCAGGAUGUUGGCUUAGAAGCAGCCAUCAUUUAAAGAAAGCGUAAUAGCUCACUGGUCGAGUCGGCCUGCGCGGAAGAUGUAACGGGGCUAAGUAGUAAACCGAAGCUGCGGCAAUGUGCUUUUGCACAUUGGGUAGGGGAGCGUUCUGUAAGCGGUUGAAGGUGUGUGGUAACGCAUGCUGGACGUAUCAGAAGUGCGAAUGCUGACAUGAGUAACGAUAAAGGGGGUGAAAAACCUCCUCGCCGGAAGACCAAGGGUUCCUGUCCAACGUUAAUCGGGGCAGGGUAAGUCGACCCCUAAGGCGAGGCCGAAAGGCGUAGUCGAUGGGAAACGGGUUAAUAUUCCCGUACUUCUUACAAUUGCGAUGGGGGGACGGAGAAGGCUAGGUGGGCCUGGCGACGGUUGUCCAGGUUCAAGUGCGUAGGCUUAAGAGUUAGGUAAAUCCGGCUCUUUUUAAGGCUGAGACACGACGUCGAGCACCUACGGGUGUGAAGUCAUUGAUGCCAUGCUUCCAGGAAAAGCCUCUAAGCUUCAGAUUGUAAGGAAUCGUACCCCAAACCGACACAGGUGGUCGGGUAGAGAAUACCAAGGCGCUUGAGAGAACUCGGGUGAAGGAACUAGGCAAAAUGGUACCGUAACUUCGGGAGAAGGUACGCUCUUGAUGGUGAAGUCCCUCGCGGAUGGAGCUGACGAGAGUCGCAGAUACCAGGUGGCUGCAACUGUUUAUUAAAAACACAGCACUGUGCAAAAUCGUAAGAUGACGUAUACGGUGUGACGCCUGCCCGGUGCCGGAAGGUUAAUUGAUGGGGUUAGACUUCGGUCGAAGCUCUUGAUCGAAGCCCCGGUAAACGGCGGCCGUAACUAUAACGGUCCUAAGGUAGCGAAAUUCCUUGUCGGGUAAGUUCCGACCUGCACGAAUGGCGUAAUGAUGGCCACGCUGUCUCCACCCGAGACUCAGUGAAAUUGAAAUCGCUGUGAAGAUGCAGUGUACCCGCGGCUAGACGGAAAGACCCCGUGAACCUUUACUACAGCUUGGCACUGAACAUUGACCCUACAUGUGUAGGAUAGGUGGGAGGCUUUGAAGCACGUACGCCAGUAUGUGUGGAGCCGUCCUUGAAAUACCACCCUUGUAGUGUUGAUGUUCUAACGUCGACCCCU